This 253-nucleotide ribosomal RNA is filed under the name uncultured bacterium. RNAcentral's name for it is "partial 16S ribosomal RNA". It matches the Rfam family "Bacterial small subunit ribosomal RNA", at positions 524 to 776 of the family's 1533-position model. The record is from RNAcentral.
UACGUAGGGUGCGAGCGUUAAUCGGAAUUACUGGGCGUAAAGGGCUCGUAGGCGGCCAACUAAGUCAGAUGUGAAAUCCCUCGGCUUAACCGGGGAACUGCGUCUGAUACUGGAUGGCUUGAAUCCGGGAGAGGGAUGCGGAAUUCCAGGUGUAGCGGUGAAAUGCGUAGAUAUCUGGAGGAACACCGGUGGCGAAGGCGGCAUCCUGGACCGGCAUUGACGCUGAGGAGCGAAAGCGAGGGGAGCAAACGGG